RNAcentral lists this ribosomal RNA (546 nucleotides) under uncultured bacterium. Its description in RNAcentral is "bacterial SSU rRNA". It matches the Rfam family "Bacterial small subunit ribosomal RNA", at positions 162 to 697 of the family's 1533-position model. The record is from RNAcentral.
GGUAAUACCGAAUACGAUCGUCGAACUAUGGUUUGACGAUGAAAGGGGCUACGGCUCCGCCUUAAGAUGGGCCCGCGUCCCAUUAGCUAGUUGGCGGUGUAACUGACCACCAAGGCGAAGAUGGGUAGCCGGCCUGAGAGGGUGAACGGCCACAUUGGGACUGAGAUACGGCCCAAACUCCUACGGGAGGCAGCAGCUAAGAAUAUUCCGCAAUGGGCGAAAGCCUGACGGAGCGACGCCGCGUGGAUGACGAAGGCCGAAAGGUUGUAAAAUCCUUUUGCAGACGAAGAAUAAGGCUGGCAGGGAAUGGCCAGUUGAUGACGUUAGUCUGCGAAUAAGCCCCGGCUAAUUACGUGCCAGCAGCCGCGGUAACACGUAAGGGGCAAGCGUUGUUCGGAAUUAUUGGGCGUAAAGGGCGCGUAGGCGGCCAUGUAAGUCUGAUGUGAAAACCCCGGGCUCAACCCGGGAACUGCAUUGGAAACUGCAAGGCUUGAGUCACGGAGGGGGAAUCGGAAUUCCUAGUGUAGGGGUGAAAUCUGUAGAUAU